This is a long non-coding RNA of Camponotus floridanus (Florida carpenter ant), 860 nucleotides long. RefSeq lists it as uncharacterized. The record is from RefSeq and is a predicted model, not a curated record. NCBI's taxonomy places the organism in Eukaryota, Metazoa, Arthropoda, Insecta, Hymenoptera, Formicidae. The transcript has 2 exons.
UGACGGAAUCAUAAGAAACUAACCAAUCGUAUUUAAUUAUUCUUCUCACAUUCAACUAUGGUUAGUUAAUUUUUUACGACUCAAUGAAAAUAAAAUGAUGGACCAAGGGUUAUGGCCGAAGUAUGAACGAGAACCCUCUAGUUCCGUAAGAAAUAAAUAAAUAAUAAAGAAAUAAAAAAAUAGAAAUAAAAGAAGAAGAAGAGAACUCCGUGCUUUGCAUUUAAGAUUUAUGCAAGAUUUAUCAUUUAAAAAAAUCAAGAAGAACAGGAUUUUGAGUCCGCUCCCUGGCAGUGUGGACUAGCCGGUCCAAAAAAUUAAAGAAGAAGAUUUGUAGGCUUUACUUAACGUGCAUAAUGGGUUGUUUUACGGCAGAAGAAUAUACAGAUAUGAUUAUCUGUUAUGGGAUGGCUGGGGAAAAUGCCGCUGCAGCGAUGCGUUUGUACGCAGAACGAUUUCCCAAUCGUAAGCGGCAUCCGUCAAGCUCUACCAUAUUGCAUUGUAUUCAUCGAGUAAGAGAAACAGGACUUCUCGGAUCGAAACGAUAUUUUGAUACACCGUUCCACCGUGACAAAACUAUCGACAAAAGAGUUCUGCGAGAGCUUGAGAAAAAACCAAGGAAUGUAUGCCGCAUAGCUCGUACACUCGGUAUAACGCGAACCAUGGUAUAUAACAUUUUAAAAGAGAAUGAUUUGCAUUCAGUAACAUCAGAUUCCGACUCCGAGUAGCAUGUAGUUACAUCGAAGAGAAAAACGUAUUAAUUUUUGACUUCUCUCUCGAAUAAUUAUGAGAGUCAAAGUUCCUCAAAGUUUCUGAACUGGCGAGUUGGCGAUCUUUAUUAUCAAUCACCUCUUAUAGACUAU